RNAcentral lists this ribosomal RNA (653 nucleotides) under uncultured bacterium. RNAcentral's name for it is "bacterial SSU rRNA". It matches the Rfam family "Bacterial small subunit ribosomal RNA", at positions 11 to 640 of the family's 1533-position model. The record is from RNAcentral.
GUUUGAUCAUGGCUCAGGACGAACGCUGGCGGCGUGCCUAACACAUGCAAGUCGAACGGAGAAUUUUAUUUCGGUAGAAUUCUUAGUGGCGAACGGGUGAGUAACGCGUAGGCAACCUACCCUUUAGACGGGGACAACAUUCCGAAAGGAGUGCUAAUACCGGAUGUGAUCAUCGUGCCGCAUGGCAGGAUGAAGAAAGAUGGCCUCUACAAGUAAGCUAUCGCUAAAGGAUGGGCCUGCGUCUGAUUAGCUAGUUGGUAGUGUAACGGACUACCAAGGCGAUGAUCAGUAGCCGGUCUGAGAGGAUGAACGGCCACAUUGGGACUGAGACACGGCCCAAACUCCUACGGGAGGCAGCAGUGGGGAAUCUUCCGCAAUGGACGAAAGUCUGACGGAGCAACGCCGCGUGAGUGAUGAAGGAUUUCGGUCUGUAAAGCUCUGUUGUUUAUGACGAACGUGCAGUGUGUGAACAAUGCAUUGCAAUGACGGUAGUAAACGAGGAAGCCACGGCUAACUACGUGCCAGCAGCCGCGGUAAUACGUAGGUGGCGAGCGUUGUCCGGAAUUAUUGGGCGUAAAGAGCAUGUAGGCGGCUUAAUAAGUCGAGCGUGAAAAUGCGGGGCUCAACCCCGUAUGGCGCUGGAAACUGUUAGG